UUUAUAAUAGUUAAAAGAUAACAAAGGACUUAAAAUCCUUAAUUGGAGGCGAGACACCUCCUUAUAAGU
This 69-nucleotide transfer RNA is filed under the name Ophiura luetkenii. Its description in RNAcentral is "tRNA-Leu". It matches the Rfam family "tRNA". From Rfam's summary of the family: Transfer RNA (tRNA) molecules are approximately 80 nucleotides in length. The record is from RNAcentral. Lineage: Eukaryota; Metazoa; Echinodermata; Ophiuroidea; Amphilepidida; Ophiuridae.